CUCCCCCUUUGUAUCCGAGAAGUCGCGUGCCUAUUGUUUGUCUUAGUAGAUCUUAGCCCAUCCCACCGGGAUUUCUCAGCCAUUAGCAUAAUUGGGCCAGCAAUACCUGAAUAAAUUUAAAUACAUCUUGUCUUUACAAUAGAGAUCUUUAGCGUUGAAGCGUGCCCGCUUCAUUGAGUCUGCCCGCAUACGCCAGUUCGGUCAAUCUUCAUAACUCUCCUCUAUUUCUUCAAGUCUCUCUAUAUACAACAAUAUCAUGACGAAUAUGGCCACAGUACAACUAAAUGGUGAUCAUCACGUCGUCCACGGUAAUCCCAUCAAGGCACCAAUGCACACCAUUCCUAUGAAAAAUCAUGAUGCUAUUAAAUUAUUUGUUGGGCAGAUUCCAAGGACUUUGGAAGAGAAGGAUCUUCGUCCAAUUUUUGAGGAGUACGGGCGCAUCUAUGAACUAACUGUUUUAAGGGACCGAUACACUGGCAUGCACAAAGGUUGCGCCUUCUUGACAUAUUGUGACAGAGAAAGCGCACUUGGAGCUCAGUCUGAACUCCACGAAAAGAAAACUCUCCCAGGGAUGAACCGGCCAAUUCAAGUCAAACCAGCAGACAGUGAGAAUAGAGGAGAAUUGAUAGGAAAAGCUACAAGAAAUUUAUCAGAGGAUCGUAAAUUGUUUGUUGGUAUGCUCAAUAAGCACCAAACUGAAGACGAUGUGCGGGCAUUGUUUCAUCCUUUUGGUAAAAUUGAAGAAUGUACAAUAUUAAGAGAUCCAAAUGGUGUUAGCAAAGGAUGUGCUUUCGUUAAAUUCAGUACUAGAAAAGAAGCUGCAGCAGCUAUAAACAACCUGCACCAAUGUCAAACAAUGCCUGGUGCAUCGUCUGCUAUUGUUGUCAAAUUUGCAGACACUGAAAAAGAACGACAAAUGCGACGAAUGCAGCAAAUGGGCGGUGCUUUAGGAGUUUUAAGUCCUAUCGUUACGACGCCACUAUACCACUACCCAACAACUCAGACCAUGAGCCAGGAAGCGCCAUUAGCAGUGUAUCCACAUAUUCUUCCUCAGCAACUGAUGGCAGCAACACAUGGGGGAACACCAUACGUUGCUGUAAAUCCAAUGAGUGCUCUGUCUGCUCAAGUACAUCAAAUGAACACAAUAGCAACUCCAAAUGGCUUUGCUACUGCUGUGGCUCCCUCUGCAGCAGUAGCUGCUGCAACAGGUCAAGCUACCAUCAAUGGUGGUACACCAAGCCUGCCCUCCCCAACUGUUCCUACCUACACCAUGGCUGCUCAGACCAAUGGUCAAGCGACUGAGCCAAUUUAUGCCAAUGGUAUGCAGCAAUACCCAGCUUCUUCAACAACAGCUGAGAUCUUACAACAAGCAUAUACUGGACUGCAGCAUUACACUGCACAAGCCUCGGCGACUUCUGACCCUCUGCAGCCGUAUGCAGCUAUGACUCAAUUUGCCGGCAAUCAUAUAGCCGCUUAUCCAGCUAGUAUGUAUGGACAGAUAUCGCAAACAUUUUCAUCCCAACAACCUCAGCCGGUGAUCGCUGCACAGCAGAGAGAAGUUGGUCCAGAGGGCUGCAACCUCUUCAUUUACCACCUGCCUCAGGAGUUAGGAGAUGCUGAACUGAUGCAGAUGUUUCUACCUUUCGGAAACAUUAUCAGCUCCAAAGUGUUUGUAGACAGGGCUACAAAUCAGAGUAAAUGCUUCGGUUUUGUAAGCUUUGACAAUCCAGCUAGUGCCCAGACUGCUAUUCAGAAUAUGAACGGCUUUCAAGUUGGCUCGAAGCGCCUAAAGGUUCAGCUGAAGAGGCCUAAGGAUUCCAGUAAACCUUACUAAAGAACAUAACAGGCCAUCUUAUUGACAGACCCUGAGACUACUUUAGUAAGCAGUAUACUGUAGCUCAUGAUUGGAAGACUUUAAAACUUAGAAACAAUUGCUACCUGGUUUCUCUUAUUGAGAGAUGAAUUUGACAGAGGUGUAGUGUCCAUAAAAACAAAAACAAAAAAAAUACAGGGGAGAAUUAACACAGCAUUCGAAUGCAUGCUGUCAACUGCUAUCAGUGGUUAUGAAAACAUCUGAUGAAAACUGAUUUUAUCUUUAUUAUUAUAUAUAAACAGCUACAUUUUAUUUUAGAAAUUUAAAUAAUAGAAGUUUAUAAGUUUUCAAGAUAUGAAAAAAAGAAAUCUGUGGGAAUCAAUCUUCAAUAAGUAUUUUACAGAACAUAAUACACUGUUCUCUUUACUUUUAUGUAUGCAAAGAUGAAAUAACUUGAAAUGUUACUUAAUGCUUAACAUAGGAAAAUGUUAACAGAAUAUUUAAUUACUUAUCAGUAUUUUAAGAUAAGCUUUCUAAAGGAGAAAUUUUUUCUGGAUUUUUGGGGCUCACUUGAGUUAUUUUUUUAUGGAUAUAUGUACGGCAAAGAAAUUAAUCGUAUUCAUAUUAAUAACUGCCAUUCCCCCAGGAUAAAAGUUGUUAGAUUUUGAACUUUGGUCAUUCAAUAGAUUGAGUUCAAAGUUAUUUAAGCUUAAUUUAUUCAUUAAUUUAUUCCUAUCAUUUAGAACAACUCUGUUGUUAAUAGGCUGGGCUAUGCUGCAAUAUGAUUUAUUUAUUCUCUACUUCAAAAUACCAUAACCCAGGUGACACGAGUGAGAUUGAGUGAGAAAGGAAAGUGCAAUAACUUGUUCCAUGUACUAACUAGAAAUCUAGAAAUAGCUUAGCAUUAGAAUUUAGAUCACAGAGUGCUGGUAGUAUACUAUCAAACACCAAACACAUUCAUUUGAUAACAUCAUAUAUUACUUAUGUUGAAAUAUUCAUAUAUAUAAUAUAAUAUAUAUAUAUAUGAUAUAUAUAUAUAUAUAUUAUAUAUAUCUGUUUUAUAUAUAUAUGUGUAUGUAUAUAUGUGUGUAUAUAUAUAUAUAUAUGUAUAUAUGUACAUUUAUAUAUGUAUAUAUAUAAAUAUAUAUAUUAUUUUAGAGUAUGUAUACACAGGAUUAUAGCUGGGAAAUGUUAAUUUCUCAGCCUAAUCAGGGCUAAUUAUUCAAGCCUAAUUGUACCACAAGUGCUUGUCGUAAUUCUUCAAUCUAUUCUUGCAUAAAACAGAUAAACUCAUAUAAGAAAGUAUAAUACAUACUCCAAGUAUUGAAAUACACGCCAUCAUAUUUCAAUACUUGGAGUAUGUAUUAUACUUUCUUAUCUGAGAUUAAUCAGUGGACCUUUCGGUUUUUACAGAUAAACUCAAAACCAUAUUGUAUUGUAUACCUACCAGCUUACUCAUCUCUGUAUUUACUUCCUUCAAACCUAUCAUUCCAGUUUGUGAGUUGAAUAUAUUAUAAAAUAUUACAAAAUGUUUUGGGCAAAUUAAAAUUUCCAUGAAAAAACAAAAAUACCAAUUUUAAAAAGUAUUCCAAGGAUGUAUUCAAUUAUUUAAUUUACUAUAAUGCAUUUUAACUUAUUAUUACAUACAGAAUUUAUUUGCUUUAAAAGACAUUACAUAAUAUGUGUCAUAGCUAAUGAUGCAGAAUCUGGGAUUGAAUUUAAUUUCAAAGGUUAGUUUAGCCAACUAACCUGAGAAUUUGUACAUAGCUUUACAAGUCCUAGAUUGUGCUCUAGAGGAAAUGAAAUGGUUGAACUAUCACAAGGGUUAGGUCUACCUAUUUGUAACUUGCAUUUUUUUCCUGUACACAGGUAAUUGUCCAUGCUUUCUAAACAGUUUGUUUUAUACAAUUUCCAUGAAUGCAAAAGCAAUAAGAUUUUUUUUAAAGAAAUUUUGACAUUCUGUGAUCAGUUUUGCAAAAAUCUAAAUGUGAACGAAACCAUUGUAAAUGAAAUUUCUUUUAUUCAGUUUGACAUUUAGUGACUUUGAUUCACAUGAAUUUUCUUGUUAAAUAUGUGUACACAACUACAGCACCUGUUUAAUUUUCAUCAAGAAUGCUAUAAGAACUUAUAAAUUUAUAUGUUUUAUCGAAUACUGAUAGAAAUGUAAAAUAUAAAAAUAGGAAUAUACAUAAUUGUAUUCAAAUAUUACAGUAGUUUUUUUUAUUUAUCUAAUAUACUAUACUACGUUAGCAUUCUAUUGUUUUCUUUAAAGAUACAGUUGAACUUGCCUAAGUCGAAUCUAAAAUGGCAUUGGAAAAAUUUGUCAACUUAAAUUAAUGGAAGCAAAACAAUUUGGCAUGUAAAAUAAGAUCAACUUAGAAAAUAGUCCAGUUAAGGCAAAGUCGACUUAGGCAAGUUUAACUUUAUAUCUUCUCUUAUGAGCUAAUACUUGAACAAUGAAAUUCAAUAUCUAUUUGCUUACUUUGUAUAUUAAGUAAGUUGUUAAAUUUCAAAGAUUAGAUCAAGAAAAUAUUUCCUUGCCAAUUAAUAGUACUACUCUUAUAUUUACAUAGCCUAAAAUUAGCUAUCUGUGAAUUUAUGGACUUGGCAAUUAGUAACUUAAAAUUCUUUCAAUUCAAUAUUUAUUUGAAUUGUUUUAUCAGACAAUUAUCUUUAAGCUUUAGUUUCCUUGUGGUAGUUCUUGCCAACAUGUAAAAAAAAAACCAUUGAAUUAUUUAAUUUCCUUUGAGCAUGCUACUCCCCAUUUGUACAUAUUUACGAACAUAUAAAAGCUAGCACUAGUAGAUUAUAAGAAUAUAGUUGUCAUUAAGACAAAAUGUAGAAAUAUACCAGGCAUAUUAAUGAUAUUUAAGGGGAAAAUCAUAGUUAAGAAAUAGAUAAUGUCAUAUGUUAGAUUCUCAAAGGUCAGCUAUAGAUCUUUUUACUAACAUCCCAUUAAUUUUUUCAUGAUCUAAAGAUUUAUCUUUGUGAAGAAUCAUGUUUCAAUUAUAUUUUACAUUGUAAAUUUAAGUUUAAAACUUGAUCUCCGGUCAAGAUUUAAAGGGAAGCAUGGUAGUAAGUAGAUCGUUAAAAAUUAGCCUGGUUAUCGCGGCUUUGUUACUUAAUGCUUGCCCACUGAAAGCUUGAUUCAAUUAGCUACCCUGCUUCAUGUUAAACUUAUCAGGGAAUUUUGAGCAUUUUACUCCAGAGAGGGCUCUUCAGUUUGCAUAAAACUCCUGUACAAAUUUUUAUCAACCGUUAAUAAUAAAAAAAAUUAGUAUACAGAAAUCAGAGACAAAAGUUUAUUUUUGGAACAAGUGGAAUUGUACAGCUAAUUGUUUUUCCAAUAUUUGAGUUUGGUUUGAUGACGGUAGUGUGUAAAUGGUCAUAUUGUACUCAAUGUGUUUGGAGUGUCAUAAAGUCUGUAGUAGCUAUGGUGGAUGUCAAAUUUUAAUAUGUACAGAUAUGGUAUAUACUUCACUAUAAACAUCUCUUCACCUAUGAUUUCAUUGCAAUAACAAUGUCAUUAUUAAUUAAAGUAAAAUAAAUAUUGAAUUAAUUUUUUUAGUUUGUAUUUGAUAUCCAAGAAUUAAAAAAGUUGACCUCAAAAGCAAUUGCUUGACCAUACUAGCAUGACGUUUCACCAGUGGCAAGAAUUUAUGCCAACAUGGGGUAGGCAGCUUAAGUGUGUUUUUAUUUAAGGUACUGAAAUGUAUAGGUGAAAUGAAAUAUAUAUGUUGUAUAUUUAUUACACACACAGUUAAUUCCUAAAUAUAUGGUUGGUUGUGUGCACAGUGUUUGUACUGCUAGUUUGUGUGGAUGUAACUUAUGUGCAUUGAUUCCAAUCAGGUUUCUUCACAUAGUUUAUAAAAAGAAACAUCAUCUGAUUGUUGGAAAAGUUUGGUGAAGUUGGUCAUGCUCACUCUCUGUACUUCUUUUAUGUUCAACAUUUAAUUGUUUUGUACAGAUGGAAAGACCUAUACAGAUUUUGAUACUCUACUUUUUUAAAUGCUUACAAUGUGUUUUAACGAACUGAAAAGCCCUCUUCUUAUGUUUUGCUCAAAUCUAUAUAGAAAGGAAUUUGAAAUAUUAUAGAAGAUUAUAAAAAAAAUAUGUAGAAUUAAGUAGCUACUAAAUAGAAAGAAUGUUGAUAAGUUAUGAUUAUCAUAUUGAAAGAUAAAGCACAAAUGAAAGAAGGUAUAAGAAUGAAGAUGCAUAAAUGGAAAGAUAAAUAAUGAAAUGAACAUGAGAAGAAUGUCAGGAAUGAUACUGCAAUAAAUGCACGCAAGAAAAGUG
RNAcentral lists this unclassified non-coding RNA (6109 nucleotides) under Anneissia japonica. RNAcentral's name for it is "cUGBP Elav-like family member 3-A, transcript variant X4". The record is from RNAcentral. Lineage: Eukaryota; Metazoa; Echinodermata; Crinoidea; Comatulida; Comatulidae.